Molecule: ribosomal RNA, 2927 nt
Filed under: Cronobacter sakazakii
Lineage: Bacteria; Pseudomonadati; Pseudomonadota; Gammaproteobacteria; Enterobacterales; Enterobacteriaceae
Description: 23S ribosomal RNA
Rfam family: Bacterial large subunit ribosomal RNA
Source: RNAcentral
GGGUUGUGAGGUUAAGCGAACAAGCGUACACGGUGGAUGCCCUGGCAGUCAGAGGCGAUGAAGGACGUGCUAAUCUGCGAAAAGCGCCGGUAAGGUGAUAUGAACCGUUAUAACCGGCGAUGUCCGAAUGGGGAAACCCGGUGCACUUCGGUGCAUCAUCGUUAGCUGAAUACAUAGGCUAACGAGGCGAACCGGGGGAACUGAAACAUCUAAGUACCCCGAGGAAAAGAAAUCAACCGAGAUUCCCCCAGUAGCGGCGAGCGAACGGGGAACAGCCCAGAGCCUGAAUCAGCUUGUGUGUCAGUGGAACGGUCUGGAAAGGCCGGCGAUACAGGGUGACAGCCCCGUACACGAAGGCACACAGGCUGUGAGCUCGAUGAGUAGGGCGGGACACGUGAUAUCCUGUCUGAAGAUGGGGGGACCAUCCUCCAAGGCUAAAUACUCCUGACUGACCGAUAGUGAACCAGUACCGUGAGGGAAAGGCGAAAAGAACCCCGGCGAGGGGAGUGAAACAGAACCUGAAACCGUGUACGUACAAGCAGUGGGAGCCUUCGUAAGAGGGUGACUGCGUACCUUUUGUAUAAUGGGUCAGCGACUUAUAUUCUGUAGCAAGGUUAACCGUAUAGGGGAGCCGAAGGGAAACCGAGUCUUAACCGGGCGUUAAGUUGCAGGGUAUAGACCCGAAACCCGGUGAUCUAGCCAUGGGCAGGUUGAAGGUUGGGUAACACUAACUGGAGGACCGAACCGACUAAUGUUGAAAAAUUAGCGGAUGACCUGUGGCUGGGGGUGAAAGGCCAAUCAAACCGGGAGAUAGCUGGUUCUCCCCGAAAGCUAUUUAGGUAGCGCCUCGUGAACUCAUCUCCGGGGGUAGAGCACUGUUUCGGCUAGGGGGCCAUCCCGGCUUACCAACCCGAUGCAAACUGCGAAUACCGGAGAAUGUUAUCACGGGAGACACACGGCGGGUGCUAACGUCCGUCGUGAAGAGGGAAACAACCCAGACCGCCAGCUAAGGUCCCAAAGUCAUGGUUAAGUGGGAAACGAUGUGGGAAGGCCCAGACAGCCAGGAUGUUGGCUUAGAAGCAGCCAUCAUUUAAAGAAAGCGUAAUAGCUCACUGGUCGAGUCGGCCUGCGCGGAAGAUGUAACGGGGCUAAACCAUGCACCGAAGCUGCGGCAGCGACACUAUGUGUUGUUGGGUAGGGGAGCGUUCUGUAAGCCUGCGAAGGUGUGCUGUGAGGCAUGCUGGAGGUAUCAGAAGUGCGAAUGCUGACAUAAGUAACGAUAAAGCGGGUGAAAAGCCCGCUCGCCGGAAGACCAAGGGUUCCUGUCCAACGUUAAUCGGGGCAGGGUGAGUCGACCCCUAAGGCGAGGCCGAAAGGCGUAGUCGAUGGGAAACAGGUUAAUAUUCCUGUACUUGGUGUUACUGCGAAGGGGGGACGGAGAAGGCUAUGUCGGCCGGGCGACGGUUGUCCCGGUUUAAGCGUGUAGGCUGACUUUCCAGGCAAAUCCGGAAGGUUAAGGCUGAGGCGUGAUGACGAGGCACCACGGUGCUGAAGUGACAAAUGCCCUGCUUCCAGGAAAAGCCUCUAAGCAUCAGGUAACAUCAAAUCGUACCCCAAACCGACACAGGUGGUCAGGUAGAGAAUACCAAGGCGCUUGAGAGAACUCGGGUGAAGGAACUAGGCAAAAUGGUGCCGUAACUUCGGGAGAAGGCACGCUGACAUGUAGGUGAAGCCCCUGCGGGUGGAGCUGAAGUCAGUCGAAGAUACCAGCUGGCUGCAACUGUUUAUUAAAAACACAGCACUGUGCAAACACGAAAGUGGACGUAUACGGUGUGACGCCUGCCCGGUGCCGGAAGGUUAAUUGAUGGGGUUAUCGCAAGAGAAGCUCCUGAUCGAAGCCCCGGUAAACGGCGGCCGUAACUAUAACGGUCCUAAGGUAGCGAAAUUCCUUGUCGGGUAAGUUCCGACCUGCACGAAUGGCGUAAUGAUGGCCAGGCUGUCUCCACCCGAGACUCAGUGAAAUUGAACUCGCUGUGAAGAUGCAGUGUACCCGCGGCAAGACGGAAAGACCCCGUGAACCUUUACUACAGCUUGACACUGAACAUUGAGCCUUGAUGUGUAGGAUAGGUGGGAGGCUUUGAAGCGUGGACGCCAGUCUGCGUGGAGCCGACCUUGAAAUACCACCCUUUAAUGUUUGAUGUUCUAACCUGGCGCCGUGAUCCGGCGUGGGGACAGUGUCUGGUGGGUAGUUUGACUGGGGCGGUCUCCUCCCAAAGUGUAACGGAGGAGCACGAAGGUCAGCUAAUCCUGGUCGGACAUCAGGAGGUUAGUGCAAUGGCAUAAGCUGGCUUGACUGCGAGAGUGACGGCUCGAGCAGGUGCGAAAGCAGGUCAUAGUGAUCCGGUGGUUCUGUAUGGAAGGGCCAUCGCUCAACGGAUAAAAGGUACUCCGGGGAUAACAGGCUGAUACCGCCCAAGAGUUCAUAUCGACGGCGGUGUUUGGCACCUCGAUGUCGGCUCAUCACAUCCUGGGGCUGAAGUAGGUCCCAAGGGUAUGGCUGUUCGCCAUUUAAAGUGGUACGCGAGCUGGGUUUAGAACGUCGUGAGACAGUUCGGUCCCUAUCUGCCGUGGGCGCUGGAGAAUUGAGGGGGGCUGCUCCCAGUACGAGAGGACCGGAGUGGACGCAUCACUGGUGUUCGGGUUGUCAUGCCAAUGGCACUGCCCGGUAGCUAAAUGCGGAAGAGAUAAGUGCUGAAAGCAUCUAAGCACGAAACUUGCCCCGAGAUGAGUUCUCCCUGAGACUUUAAGUCUCCUGAAGGAACGUUGAAGACGACGACGUUGAUAGGCCGGGUGUGUAAGCGCAGCGAUGCGUUGAGCUAACCGGUACUAAUGAACCGUGAGGCUUAACCUUACAACGCCAAAGAAGU